UGAAGAUUAAUGAUCUUAAAAACGAAAACAGGGAUCUUGAAAAAAACAUAGCGAGUUGGGAGGAGAAGGCCAGGGAAGCAAAGAAGCAAGCAGAAACAAAGACAGACCAUAAGCGUUCCCUUGCUGGAGUACAUAUAUUAAAAGCCUGAAGAGGAAGAAAAGGAAGGCUUUCCUAGAACCAGACCUGGCCAA
Long non-coding RNA from Neogale vison (American mink), 192 nucleotides. RefSeq lists it as uncharacterized. The transcript has 3 exons. NCBI's taxonomy places the organism in Eukaryota, Metazoa, Chordata, Mammalia, Carnivora, Mustelidae. The record is from RefSeq and is a predicted model, not a curated record.